GACGAACGCUGGCGGCGUGCCUAAUACAUGCAAGUAGAACGCUGAAGAGAGGAGCUUGCUCUUCUUGGAUGAGUUGCGCACGGGUGAGUAACGCGUAGGUAACCUGCCUUGUAGCGGGGGAUAACUAUUGGAAACGAUAGCUAAUACCGCAUAACAAUGGAUGACCCAUGUCAUUUAUUUGAAAGGGGCAAAUGCUCCACUACAAGAUGGACCUGCGUUGUAUUAGCUAGUAGGUGAGGUAACGGCUCACCUAGGCGACGAUACAUAGCCGACCUGAGAGGGUGAUCGGCCACACUGGGACUGAGACACGGCCCAGACUCCUACGGGAGGCAGCAGUAGGGAAUCUUCGGCAAUGGGGGCAACCCUGACCGAGCAACGCCGCGUGAGUGAAGAAGGUUUUCGGAUCGUAAAGCUCUGUUGUAAGUCAAGAACGAGUGUGAGAGUGGAAAGUUCACACUGUGACGGUAGCUUACCAGAAAGGGACGGCUAACUACGUG
This 497-nucleotide ribosomal RNA is filed under the name uncultured bacterium. RNAcentral's name for it is "partial 16S ribosomal RNA". It matches the Rfam family "Bacterial small subunit ribosomal RNA", at positions 28 to 507 of the family's 1533-position model. The record is from RNAcentral.